GAUGAACGCUGGCGGCGUGCCUAAUACAUGCAAGUCGAGCGAACAGACGAGGAGCUUGCUCCUCUUACGUUAGCGGCGGACGGGUGAGUAACACGUGGAUAACCUACAUAGAAGACUGGGAUAACUUCGGGAAACCGGAUCUAAUACCGGAUAAUAUAUUGAACCGCAUGGUUCAAUAGUGAAAGACGGUUUUGCUGUCACUUAUAGAUGGAUCCGCGCCGCAUUAGCUAGUUGGUAAGGUAACGGCUUACCAAGGCAACGAUGCGUAGCCGACCUGAGAGGGUGAUCAGCCACACUGGAACUGAGACACGGUCCAGACUCCUACGGGAGGCAGCAGUAGGGAAUCUUCCGCAAUGGGCGAAAGCCUGACGGAGCAACGCCGCGUGAGUGAUGAAGGUCUUCGGAUCGUAAAACUCUGUUAUUAGGGAAGAACAAAUGUGUAAGUAACUAUGCACGUCUUGACGGUACCUAAUCAGAAAGCCACGGCUAACUACGUG
This 497-nucleotide ribosomal RNA is filed under the name uncultured bacterium. Its description in RNAcentral is "partial 16S ribosomal RNA". It matches the Rfam family "Bacterial small subunit ribosomal RNA", at positions 28 to 507 of the family's 1533-position model. The record is from RNAcentral.